CGGCUGUUGAGCUCCUUCUGUGUUCCAGUGGAACAUCUGUGUUUUACUGUGCAAAUGAGAAUGGCCAGGAUGUUACAUACAGCUGGACUGUCAGUAACAGCAUCCUGGGAGAACGGACUGUAUUCAGUAACAGUUGUAAAUAUAUAUCUUUGAAGAACAUGUCUGGAACUGUCCGCUGCUCUGUGGAGAAGAAGGGCUGCAGUGCACAGAGUGAACCUCAGAACUUUGACUGCACAGAACACCCAUAUGAGACAAGACAGCCCUGGGGUGUCAUUGUUCUGAUCGUUGUCUGCACACUGCUACUUUGUCUGACCAUGGCUGCACUUCUGAGCUGUAUCCGAAGAAGCUACAAAAAACGUCUCCUGAAUGAGAAUUCUGCACAAUCCAGUUCCUCACCGGAGGCCACCGAUCACGAGCUAGUUUUUUAUACGCAAGUCAGACUCUCACGAUGACGCCUGUGAGCUUUUAAUUGGGCAAAAUAAAUGGUUGACAUAUUUUAUGAUUUUAUCGAGG
Molecule: long non-coding RNA, 513 nt
Filed under: Scleropages formosus (Asian bonytongue)
Lineage: Eukaryota; Metazoa; Chordata; Actinopteri; Osteoglossiformes; Osteoglossidae
Description: lncRNA (ENSSFOG00015032243.1)
Source: RNAcentral